Molecule: ribosomal RNA, 448 nt
Filed under: uncultured Christensenellaceae bacterium
Lineage: Bacteria; Bacillati; Bacillota; Clostridia; Christensenellales; Christensenellaceae
Description: bacterial SSU rRNA
Rfam family: Bacterial small subunit ribosomal RNA
Source: RNAcentral
UUCCUACGGGGGGCAGCAGUGGGGAAUAUUGGGCAAUGGGCGCAAGCCUGACCCAGCAACGCCGCGUGAGGGAAGAAGGUCUUCGGAUUGUAAACCUCUGUCCUUGGGGACGAAAAAAAUGACGGUACCCGAAGAGGAAGCUCCGGCUAACUACGUGCCAGCAGCCGCGGUAAUACGUAGGGAGCGAGCGUUGUCCGGAAUUACUGGGCGUAAAGGGUGCGUAGGCGGCAUGGCAAGUCAGAUGUGAAAUCCCCGGGCUUAACUCGGGUGGUGCAUUUGAAACUGCUGUGCUUGAGUGCAGGAGAGGAAAGCGGAAUUCCUAGUGUAGCGGUGAAAUGCGUAGAUAUUAGGAGGAACACCAGUGGCGAAGGCGGCUUUCUGGACUGUAACUGACGCUGAGGCACGAAAGCGUGGGGAGCAAACAGGAUUAGAUACCCUUGUAGUCCUG